RNAcentral lists this ribosomal RNA (1029 nucleotides) under Staphylococcus aureus. RNAcentral's name for it is "partial 23S ribosomal RNA". It matches the Rfam family "Bacterial large subunit ribosomal RNA", at positions 195 to 1227 of the family's 2925-position model. Lineage: Bacteria; Bacillati; Bacillota; Bacilli; Caryophanales; Staphylococcaceae. The record is from RNAcentral.
GAAACAUCUUAGUACCCGGAGGAAGAGAAAGAAAAUUCGAUUCCCUUAGUAGCGGCGAGCGAAACGGGAAGAGCCCAAACCAACAAGCUUGCUUGUUGGGGUUGUAGGACACUCUAUACGGAGUUACAAAGGACGACAUUAGACGAAUCAUCUGGAAAGAUGAAUCAAAGAAGGUAAUAAUCCUGUAGUCGAAAAUGUUGUCUCUCUUGAGUGGAUCCUGAGUACGACGGAGCACGUGAAAUUCCGUCGGAAUCUGGGAGGACCAUCUCCUAAGGCUAAAUACUCUCUAGUGACCGAUAGUGAACCAGUACCGUGAGGGAAAGGUGAAAAGCACCCCGGAAGGGGAGUGAAAUAGAACCUGAAACCGUGUGCUUACAAGUAGUCAGAGCCCGUUAAUGGGUGAUGGCGUGCCUUUUGUAGAAUGAACCGGCGAGUUACGAUUUGAUGCAAGGUUAAGCAGUAAAUGUGGAGCCGUAGCGAAAGCGAGUCUGAAUAGGGCGUUUAGUAUUUGGUCGUAGACCCGAAACCAGGUGAUCUACCCUUGGUCAGGUUGAAGUUCAGGUAACACUGAAUGGAGGACCGAACCGACUUACGUUGAAAAGUGAGCGGAUGAACUGAGGGUAGCGGAGAAAUUCCAAUCGAACCUGGAGAUAGCUGGUUCUCUCCGAAAUAGCUUUAGGGCUAGCCUCAAGUGAUGAUUAUUGGAGGUAGAGCACUGUUUGGACGAGGGGCCCCUCUCGGGUUACCGAAUUCAGACAAACUCCGAAUGCCAAUUAAUUUAACUUGGGAGUCAGAACAUGGGUGAUAAGGUCCGUGUUCGAAAGGGAAACAGCCCAGACCACCAGCUAAGGUCCCAAAAUAUAUGUUAAGUGGAAAAGGAUGUGGCGUUGCCCAGACAACUAGGAUGUUGGCUUAGAAGCAGCCAUCAUUUAAAGAGUGCGUAAUAGCUCACUAGUCGAGUGACACUGCGCCGAAAAUGUACCGGGGCUAAACAUAUUACCGAAGCUGUGGAUUGUCCUUUGGACAAUG